CUAUGGGAUGCUCCAGUGGGGAAUAUUGCACAAUGGAGGAAACUCUGAUGCAGCAAUGCCGCGUGGAGGAUGACACUUUUCGGAGCGUAAACUCCUUUUAUAUAGGAAGAAGAUGACGGUACUAUAUGAAUAAGCGCCGGCUAACUCCGUGCCAGCAGCCGCGGUAAUACGGAGGGCGCAAGCGUUACUCGGAAUUACUGGGCGUAAAGAGCGUGUAGGCGGAUUAAAAAGUCAGAAGUGAAAUCCUAUAGCUUAACUAUAGAACUGCUUCUGAAACUCUUAAUCUAGAAUAUGGGAGAGGUAGAUGGAAUUUCUGGUGUAGGGGUAAAAUCCGUAGAGAUCAGAAGGAAUACCGAUUGCGAAGGCGAUCUACUAGAACAUUAUUGACGCUGAGACGCGAAAGCGUGGGGAGCAAACAGGAUUAGAUACCCGCGUAGUC
RNAcentral lists this ribosomal RNA (439 nucleotides) under uncultured bacterium. Its description in RNAcentral is "partial 16S ribosomal RNA". It matches the Rfam family "Bacterial small subunit ribosomal RNA", at positions 339 to 795 of the family's 1533-position model. The record is from RNAcentral.